CAGCUGGCAGAGAUCAGAGAGCAAAGGGAGGGUCAAACACUGUUUAAAUACCACAAAUUUUAGCCAGCAUUUCCCAGUGAGGUGAAUAUCAAACAAUCAGAAUUUAGGUGAAUAUUAAAUCGUCCAAAUUCAGGUGAAUAUUGAAUGAUCAGAAUUUUGGACAUGCUCUUGCAGCCUUUGACUGCAGGGCCUGAUGGGCCCCAGCUGACCCAGACUACUUAAGGCUUCUCUGCUAUGGAAUCACAGCCCUGGAGCAAGGAAUACUGAGAGGCUCAGGUGCAACAACAUCUUCAUGAAGACUUGCUGCAGGCUCCAGGAGCAAGGACUCCAGGCUUCAGGGUCACCCCACGAUGGAUAACCACCUCUUCCUCAGGGCAUCAUUCCUCAUUCCAUCAGGAAUUUGCCUGGAGAAGGCCAGUCCUGGGUCACAAGGUUGGUGCUUGCUAUUUUUUAGGAAGUUUUUACUGGCUGGUUGAAUUUUUUUUUCCUCACACUGAGCUAUGAUAUUGAUUUCAGUUGAAAAGCUUCAGGUUUAGGUACAAGUUCACAGCGUAGCAAUUUAGGCUGGAUCAUGGCUUGCAUUUCUCCUGUCAGGUUUGAAUUUCAGCACACAGGAUAGCUCUGAAUGAAAAGUUCAGUUUACUGCAUUUUAUUGGUUUAUUAUAUAUUUAUGCUGUAUUAUAAAACCGAUGCACCAAGGCUGCAAUAUUUCCCUUGAAUGAGGAGAAGCAAAUACAUUGUAGAGAGUUAAAUACACCAGCAGUUCAGGCAAGCAACAGUUGUAGCUGUGUUAUAUAUAGGUAUGUUUGUACAGACAUAUUGUUAAGGAUACUUUCCCUUUAAUGGAAUAUUUAAGUGAUAGCUUUAAAUAUGUAACUUCUUUUAAAAAGCUCAACUUGAUCUCCAGGUAAAUGAAACAGACUCUGCCAGUGAGAGAAGAUCAGAGUAGAUAACAGUGUAGGACAUGGUCCUUCCAACCCCACAAUCCCAG
This is a long non-coding RNA of Corapipo altera (White-ruffed manakin), 991 nucleotides long. RefSeq lists it as uncharacterized. The transcript has 3 exons. The record is from RefSeq and is a predicted model, not a curated record. Lineage: Eukaryota; Metazoa; Chordata; Aves; Passeriformes; Pipridae.